RNAcentral lists this ribosomal RNA (498 nucleotides) under uncultured bacterium. Its description in RNAcentral is "partial 16S ribosomal RNA". It matches the Rfam family "Bacterial small subunit ribosomal RNA", at positions 28 to 507 of the family's 1533-position model. The record is from RNAcentral.
GACGAACGCUGGCGGCGUGCCUAAUACAUGCAAGUCGAACGAGAGCAACCGGUGCUUGCACUGGUCAAUCUAGUGGCGAACGGGUGAGUAACACGUGGGUAACCUGCCCAUCAGAGGGGGAUAACAUCCGGAAACGGAUGCUAAAACCGCAUAGGUCUUCGAACCGCAUGGUUUGAAGAGGAAAAGAGGCGCAAGCUUCUGCUGGUGGGUGGGCCCGCUGUGCGUUAGCUAGGUGGUGAGGUAAAGGCUCACCAAGGCCGGGAUGCAUAGCCGACCUGAGAGGGUGAUCGGCCACAUUGGGACUGAGACACGGCCCAAACUCCUACGGGAGGCACCAGUAGGGCAUCUUGCGCAAUGGACGCAAGUCUGACGGAGCAACGCCGCGUGAGUGAAGAAGGUUUUCGGAUCGUAAGACUCUGUUGUUAGAGAAGAACAAGUGCUAGAGUAACUGUUAGCGCCUUGACGGUAUCUACACAGAAAGCCACGGCUAACUACGUG